RNAcentral lists this long non-coding RNA (967 nucleotides) under Helianthus annuus (common sunflower). Lineage: Eukaryota; Viridiplantae; Streptophyta; Magnoliopsida; Asterales; Asteraceae. The record is from RNAcentral.
UUUUUUUUUUUUUUUUUUUUUUUUUUUGUGAAUUAACCUUGGCUCUUAUGUCAUCAAUUUACUUUAGCUCUUGGUUCAUAAUACAAAAUUCUGAACAUUUUAGUACUUGAAAGUUUGGUUUGUUAAUUGAACAAUGUGGGCUCCUCCACCACCUCCAAUGGCUGACAACAUACGAGGAAUUCACACAGAUGAAAUCCAAAUUUGAGAAUAUUAGAGGCUUUAAAAUUGUUGUGAUGCUAUUGAUGCCACUCGUAUAUUAUGAAGUUGCCGUCAGCAACGGAUCGAACAACUGAUGUUUGGCUUGACGUUAAGGACAACCACAUUAUGAUUUUGCUGGUGAUUGUUGACCCUGCCAUGAGAUUCAGUGAUGUAGUUAUGGGAUAUACCGGGUAAAUCGAUGAAGCACCCAUUCUUAAAAAAACUAAUUUUUAUGAUUUAUCAGAGAAACGAGAGAGGCUAAACGAAGUUGGUGGCACAUCGGGCUUUGGCCUACUUGAAAGAUGUCUAGAAGAUGAUUCAUGGAGUGAUGUGGGGACCUGACAGAUUAUAAAGGUUGCUAAUGCAAGUGUUACAAAAACGGAUGCUUUUUUAGAGAAAGCUUGCCACGCACGUAUAUUGGAUCACUUUGCCGAUCAUGCUGAUGAUUCUGGAUCUAAUCAAGUUGCUAAAGAUUGUUAAUUACCUCUAUUUCAUAACUCUCUACAACGAUUGAAAUCUACUAUUUGUCCGACUUCAGAUUCACAUGAGAUUCUCUAUUUAUGGGUGAAUAUUGUUGUUGAUUUGAUUUAGAAGAAGCGGAUGCAAGUUUAUUGUAAAAGUUUUUGUUCGAGCACUAAUGAAAGCGUCUAAUGUGCCAAUAUGUACCCUGUUGCAACGCGCCGGAUACUUUUACUAGUUUAUGUUACUUUGAAACUUUUGUAAAUUUAUGUUACUUUGAAACCUUGGUAAUUUAUAUUCUUGGGUUAUU